This 313-nucleotide ribosomal RNA is filed under the name Trachytes aegrota. Its description in RNAcentral is "partial 16S ribosomal RNA". The record is from RNAcentral. Lineage: Eukaryota; Metazoa; Arthropoda; Arachnida; Mesostigmata; Trachytidae.
UAGUUGAAUUUAAAUCUAAUGAAGAUUUUAUGAAUAAUAAAGUGUGACGAGAAGACCCUAUGAAUUUUUAUUUUUAAUAAGUAUAUGUAAGUUUAUAAAAAUUUUGUUGGGGUGACAGGAAAAUAUUUAAAAACUUUAUUUUGAUCCUUAUAAAAGAAUAUAAGAAAUAAAUACUCUAGGGAUAACAGCGUAAUUGAUUUGGAUAGUUCUUAUUGAUAAAGGAGAUUGCGACCUCGAUGUUGGAUUAAUAAACCUCUUUGUUGUAGAAGACUUUUUAGGAAGUUUGUUCAACUUUUAAAAUAUUACUUGAUCU